Molecule: transfer RNA, 76 nt
Filed under: Tolypothrix sp. NIES-4075
Lineage: Bacteria; Bacillati; Cyanobacteriota; Cyanophyceae; Nostocales; Tolypothrichaceae
Description: tRNA-Met
Rfam family: tRNA
About the family: Transfer RNA (tRNA) molecules are approximately 80 nucleotides in length. Their secondary structure includes four short double-helical elements and three loops (D, anti-codon, and T loops).
Source: RNAcentral
UGGCUCAGUAGCUCAGUUGGUUAGAGCGUGGGACUCAUAAGCCUGAGGUCGUGUGUUCGAGUCACACCUGAGCCAU